GGGGAGGGCGCGUGCUAUACUGCAGUCGAGCGGACUGAUGGGAGCUUGCUCCCUGAUGUUAGCGGCGGACGGGUGAGUAACACGUGGGUAACCUGCCUGUAAGACUGGGAUAACUCCGGGAAACCGGGGCUAAUACCGGAUGGUUGUUUGAACCGCAUGGUUCAAACAUAAAAGGUGGCUUCGGCUACCACUUACAGAUGGACCCGCGGCGCAUUAGCUAGUUGGUGAGGUAACGGCUCACCAAGGCAACGAUGCGUAGCCGACCUGAGAGGGUGAUCGGCCACACUGGGACUGAGACACGGCCCAGACUCCUACGGGAGGCAGCAGUAGGGAAUCUUCCGCAAUGGACGAAAGUCUGACGGAGCAACGCCGCGUGAGUGAUGAAGGUUUUCGGAUCGUAAAGCUCUGUUGUUAGGGAAGAACAAGUACCGUUCGAAUAGGGCGGUACCUUGACGGUACCUAACCAGAAAGCCACGGCUAACUACGUGCCAGCAGCCGCGGUAAUACGUAGGUGGCAAGCGUUGUCCGGAAUUAUUGGGCGUAAAGGGCUCGCAGGCGGUUUCUUAAGUCUGAUGUGAAAGCCCCCGGCUCAACCGGGGAGGGUCAUUGGAAACUGGGGAACUUGAGUGCAGAAGAGGAGAGUGGAAUUCCACGUGUAGCGGUGAAAUGCGUAGAGAUGUGGAGGAACACCAGUGGCGAAGGCGACUCUCUGGUCUGUAACUGACGCUGAGGAGCGAAAGCGUGGGGAGCGAACAGGAUUAGAUACCCUGGUAGUCCACGCCGUAAACGAUGAGUGCUAAGUGUUAGAGGGGUUUCCGCCCCUUAGUGCUGCAGCUAACGCAUUAAGCACUCCGCCUGGGGAGUACGGUCGCAAGACUGAAACUCAAAGGAAUUGACGGGGGCCCGCACAAGCGGUGGAGCAUGUGGUUUAUUCGAAGCACGCGAAGAACCUUACCAGGUCUUGACAUCCUCUGACAAUCCUAGAGAUAGGACGUCCCCUUCGGGGGCAGAGUGUGAC
Molecule: ribosomal RNA, 1018 nt
Filed under: Bacillus sp. (in: firmicutes)
Lineage: Bacteria; Bacillati; Bacillota; Bacilli; Caryophanales; Bacillaceae
Description: bacterial SSU rRNA
Rfam family: Bacterial small subunit ribosomal RNA
Source: RNAcentral